ACAACAGUUUGAGCGGCUCGAAAUUCCCAAGCCCGGGGGCCAAGACGAGGGAAAUGGCUUAUACUCUUAAAAUAAGUAACCUAGUCUAUCUAUGUGCAUAUACAAACUUUGAAGGCAAUUUAUCAAGGUUCAUGGUUUUAGGGACUUGUACAUUCCAACGAGCCCGUGUGCACACUGAGAACUUUUUAGUGUUAGGUAUCGUGAACAGACAAGGGGAUGACACUUCUUGAAGAAAAAUAAGCUACAGA
Molecule: long non-coding RNA, 248 nt
Filed under: Hordeum vulgare
Lineage: Eukaryota; Viridiplantae; Streptophyta; Magnoliopsida; Poales; Poaceae
Description: long non-coding RNA (HVUL_LNC003225)
Source: RNAcentral